GAUGAAGAACGUAGCAAAAUGCGAUAAGUAAUGUGAAUUGCAGAAUUCAGUGAAUCAUCGAAUCUUUGAACGCACAUUGCGCCCGCCAGUAUUCUGGCGGGCAUGCCUGUUCGAGCGUCAUUACAACCCUCAAGCCCCCCGGCUUGGUGUUGGGGGCCGGCCACCGGUGCCCUGCUGCUUCCGCGGCAGGCGCACCCGGCCGCCCCCGAAAUGAAUUGGCGGCCCCGUCGCGGCCUCCCUCUGCGUAGUAGCACACAUCUCGCAGCUGGAGCGCGGCGCGGCCACUGCCGUAAAACGCACCAACUUUUUUUACAGUUGACCUCGAAUCAGGUAGGAAUACCCGCUGAACUUAAGCAUAUCAAUAAGCGGAGGA
RNAcentral lists this unclassified non-coding RNA (373 nucleotides) under soil metagenome. RNAcentral describes it as "partial contains 5.8S ribosomal RNA, internal transcribed spacer 2, and large subunit ribosomal RNA". The stretch from base 1 to 120 matches the Rfam family "5.8S ribosomal RNA", at positions 35 to 154 of the family's 154-position model. The record is from RNAcentral.